This 1653-nucleotide ribosomal RNA is filed under the name Salmonella enterica subsp. enterica serovar Paratyphi A. RNAcentral's name for it is "bacterial SSU rRNA". It matches the Rfam family "Bacterial small subunit ribosomal RNA". Lineage: Bacteria; Pseudomonadati; Pseudomonadota; Gammaproteobacteria; Enterobacterales; Enterobacteriaceae. The record is from RNAcentral.
ACGAAAAAUGAAUACCAAGUCUCAAGAGUGAACACGUAAUUCAUUACGAAGUUUAAUUCAUUGAGCAUCAAACUUUUAAAUUGAAGAGUUUGAUCAUGGCUCAGAUUGAACGCUGGCGGCAGGCCUAACACAUGCAAGUCGAACGGUAACAGGAAGCAGCUUGCUGCUUUGCUGACGAGUGGCGGACGGGUGAGUAAUGUCUGGGAAACUGCCUGAUGGAGGGGGAUAACUACUGGAAACGGUGGCUAAUACCGCAUAACGUCGCAAGACCAAAGAGGGGGACCUUCGGGCCUCUUGCCAUCAGAUGUGCCCAGAUGGGAUUAGCUUGUUGGUGAGGUAACGGCUCACCAAGGCGACGAUCCCUAGCUGGUCUGAGAGGAUGACCAGCCACACUGGAACUGAGACACGGUCCAGACUCCUACGGGAGGCAGCAGUGGGGAAUAUUGCACAAUGGGCGCAAGCCUGAUGCAGCCAUGCCGCGUGUAUGAAGAAGGCCUUCGGGUUGUAAAGUACUUUCAGCGGGGAGGAAGGUGUUGUGGUUAAUAACCGCAGCAAUUGACGUUACCCGCAGAAGAAGCACCGGCUAACUCCGUGCCAGCAGCCGCGGUAAUACGGAGGGUGCAAGCGUUAAUCGGAAUUACUGGGCGUAAAGCGCACGCAGGCGGUCUGUCAAGUCGGAUGUGAAAUCCCCGGGCUCAACCUGGGAACUGCAUUCGAAACUGGCAGNNNNNNNNNNNNNNNNNNNNGUAGCGGUGAAAUGCGUAGAGAUCUGGAGGAAUACCGGUGGCGAAGGCGGCCCCCUGGACAAAGACUGACGCUCAGGUGCGAAAGCGUGGGGAGCAAACAGGAUUAGAUACCCUGGUAGUCCACGCCGUAAACGAUGUCUACUUGGAGGUUGUGCCCUUGAGGCGUGGCUUCCGGAGCUAACGCGUUAAGUAGACCGCCUGGGGAGUACGGCCGCAAGGUUAAAACUCAAAUGAAUUGACGGGGGCCCGCACAAGCGGUGGAGCAUGUGGUUUAAUUCGAUGCAACGCGAAGAACCUUACCUGGUCUUGACAUCCACGGAAGUUUUCAGAGAUGAGAAUGUGCCUUCGGGAACCGUGAGACAGGUGCUGCAUGGCUGUCGUCAGCUCGUGUUGUGAAAUGUUGGGUUAAGUCCCGCAACGAGCGCAACCCUUAUCCUUUGUUGCCAGCGGUCCGGCCGGGAACUCAAAGGAGACUGCCAGUGAUAAACUGGAGGAAGGUGGGGAUGACGUCAAGUCAUCAUGGCCCUUACGACCAGGGCUACACACGUGCUACAAUGGCGCAUACAAAGAGAAGCGACCUCGCGAGAGCAAGCGGACCUCAUAAAGUGCGUCGUAGUCCGGAUUGGAGUCUGCAACUCGACUCCAUGAAGUCGGAAUCGCUAGUAAUCGUGGAUCAGAAUGCCACGGUGAAUACGUUCCCGGGCCUUGUACACACCGCCCGUCACACCAUGGGAGUGGGUUGCAAAAGAAGUAGGUAGCUUAACCUUCGGGAGGGCGCUUACCACUUUGUGAUUCAUGACUGGGGUGAAGUCGUAACAAGGUAACCGUAGGGGAACCUGCGGUUGGAUCACCUCCUUACCUUAAAGAAGCGUACUUUGCAGUGCUCACACAGAUUGUCUGAUGAAAA